UCUGAGAGGAUGACCAGCCACACUGGAACUGAGACACGGUCCAGACUCCUACGGGAGGCAGCAGUGGGGAAUAUUGCACAAUGGGCGCAAGCCUGAUGCAGCCAUGCCGCGUGUAUGAAGAAGGCCUUCGGGUUGUAAAGUACUUUCAGCGGGGAGGAAGGUGUUGAGGUUAAUAACCUCAGCAAUUGACGUUACCCGCAGAAGAAGCACCGGCUAACUCCGUGCCAGCAGCCGCGGUAAUACGGAGGGUGCAAGCGUUAAUCGGAA
This 267-nucleotide ribosomal RNA is filed under the name uncultured Enterobacter sp. RNAcentral's name for it is "partial 16S ribosomal RNA". It matches the Rfam family "Bacterial small subunit ribosomal RNA", at positions 291 to 550 of the family's 1533-position model. The record is from RNAcentral. Lineage: Bacteria; Pseudomonadati; Pseudomonadota; Gammaproteobacteria; Enterobacterales; Enterobacteriaceae.